Molecule: long non-coding RNA, 1381 nt
Organism: Lathyrus oleraceus (garden pea)
Lineage: Eukaryota; Viridiplantae; Streptophyta; Magnoliopsida; Fabales; Fabaceae
Exons: 2
Source: RefSeq, a predicted model, not a curated record
UCCCAAGAUGCAGCCUAAAACACGAAGCUUGUGUGGAAAAAAAAGUUGAAAACGUUUCACCGUCGAAAACACUUCUGCAAGCUCUAAACCUGAUCGUAUUCUUCAUCCAAUUCUGCUCGUGUCUCGAUAUCAUCAUCGCCGCGAUUUUGAAAUGGGAGUGCGUCCAUGGACUUGGCUUCUCCGUAUUAUCAUAAGAGAUCGCGUUCAUCGGUAGCAUCGCGCUUCAGACAUCGUCGCGCAUCUCCGGCGCCGCGUCUACGUUUCAAACUCAGUCUCCACACGCGGCGUACCGUUCGUCAACGAAGGAUAAUGCUCAUCAAAUCACGUUUCUCAAUCUUUAUCACCUGCUUCUCAUAGUGUCCGGCCUUCGACUUCGCGCUUAGCCUCACCGUAUGGUUGGAUUCUCAACUCAAAUCAGUUUAUGCGUGCCGAUACGAUGAACUACGAAUCCAAGAGAAUGAAGGAGAACUCACCAGAUUACUUCCGAUUUGAACCAGUACAUACUCCUAUUCUCUGAUUCAGAUCCGUUCCGUCUUCUCUUCUACGACAAAUUUGAGUCCUGCGCGUGGAGUUCCAAUUUGGAAGCUGAACACUAAUCCUUGUGAGUGCCGCAUCCAGGAUGUAGACUCUGUUGCGAGCGAGAGUGGGGAAUUUAAAAGGUGCGGAUUGAACGUCUUUGACGACGACGAUUUUGCAGGAGGAGUGGAAAACCAGUUGCAGAGUUGAAGAAAUCUGAUGCAGAACCAAGGGAUUUUGCAGAAAAUCGAGGGAGCAGGUUCAAGAAGGUUUGAUGCUGAAGGAGCAGUUAUGUUGCAGAAACGGGGGAUAUUGAAGGUGAAGGUGAAGAAGAAAGAGGAAUUGAAGAUUGAAGGUGAAUCAUUGAAGAAGUGAUGAAGAGUAUUAUUUAUAUCUUUCCUAAAAUCGGUUAGAAAUUCCAACUCAAAUUCAUCUGAAAUUCAACUUAAAUUCAGAGUUGGUUAGUAAAUUCACAAAUCAGUUAUUGUGUUAGUGAUUCUAUGUGUGCUAAGCUAAGUUAAUUACGGUGGAGCUUCAUGUUUGUAUUCAAAAUUCUGCAGGUUGUAUGGUUCCAAAUUUCUGUCAAAUUUCAUUAGCAGCUAGUUGGCUUGGCUUGCGUUUCUGUCUUCUAUUUCUGUGGUGUUUUGUAUUGCUUCGUUCCCAAUUCACGUGCAUCCUGGAGUUUUUUUAUUGUGACGGACAUGGGCCUGGACCUAAAAAUGGUGACCCAAUAUACAAGUGGACUAUGGCUUCCUUUUUUCUUUAAAAGUGGAUAAUGGAUAUGGGUUUAAUUUGGAUAUGGUUUACAAAUGGGUCAAUUGAUUAUGGACAUGAGAUUGGAAUGUAUUACCAAUUUAUUCUAACA